UACAGAGGUCUCAAGCGUUGUUCGGAUUCAUUGGGCGUAAAGGGUGCGUAGGUGGCGCCGUAAGUCGGGUGUGAAAUUUCGGAGCUUAACUCCGAAACUGCAUUCGAUACUGCGGUGCUUGAGGACUGGAGAGGAGACUGGAAUUCAUGGUGUAGCAGUGAAAUGCGUAGAGAUCAUGAGGAAGACCAGUGGCGAAGGCGGGUCUCUGGACAGUUCCUGACACUGAGGCACGAGGGCCAGGGGAGCAAACGGG
This 253-nucleotide ribosomal RNA is filed under the name uncultured bacterium. RNAcentral describes it as "partial 16S ribosomal RNA". It matches the Rfam family "Bacterial small subunit ribosomal RNA", at positions 524 to 776 of the family's 1533-position model. The record is from RNAcentral.